Non-coding RNA from Musa acuminata subsp. malaccensis (wild Malaysian banana), 5540 nucleotides. Lineage: Eukaryota; Viridiplantae; Streptophyta; Magnoliopsida; Zingiberales; Musaceae. The record is from RefSeq and is a predicted model, not a curated record.
CCUUUGGUAACACGCCCUCGGUAUUCCCACCACCCAUAUAUUUCCUCGCAAUCCCCAAUUCCAUUCCAUCGAUCGACCGGAAACCCUAAUCAAGGUCCGCUCGGUCUCGAUUUGGAUCUCGUUCUCGGUUUCGGUCUCGGUCUCGGUCUCGAUUUGGAGUCGUUUGCUCCCUCGUUCCGUUGAUUUGUCCUUGCUCAAUCCCGAAGUCAGAUCUUGCUUUAGGGUUUCCGGAGCGGCAGCUGAUCCAUGGCGGAUCGGAGCGCGGCGGCUGCGAAGCCCAUAUGGAUGAAGCAGGCAGAGGAGGCUAAGAUUAAGAGUGAGGCGGAGAAGGCGGCAGCGGCAAAGGCCGCUUUCGAGGCCACUUUCAAGGCUAUGGAGAAGGCCAAGGCGAAGGAGGAGGAGGAGGAAUCUUCCGACAGCGACGGGGACGAGCCGGAAGACCUUGCGUCGAAGCCCAUCGGCCCCGUGGACCCAUCCAAGUGCAUCGCCGCUGGCGCUGGGAUCGCCGGAGGCACCGCUUGCGCGCCGUGCACCUUCACUGUCGUAACCAAGGAUUCUGACAGCCGGAAGAUUCCCACCGGUGGAGCCCAGAUCAAGGUGAAGAUCUCGCCUGGUGUUGGAGUCGGGGGCUCCGAUCAAGAGGGUAUGGUUAAGGAUCAGGGGGACGGGGCGUACGCCGUGACCUAUGCAGUGCCCAAGCGCGGGAACUACAUGGUGCAUGUUGAUUGCAACGGGAAGCCAAUCAUGGGGAGCCCGUUCCCAGUGUUUUUUAGCGCCGGCACAGCCAUAGGGGCAACGAGCUUGCCUGCGGUGUCCUCUUACCCCAAUAUGGUGAAUCAGACAAUGCCCAACAUGCCAAACUAUGCAGGCUCAGUAUCUGGGGCAUUCCCGGGGCUGUUAGGCAUGACGCCCGGUGUUGCAUCAGGAUCCGCCGGAGGAGUGGUUUUGCAGGGGAUUGGGGCAUCACUGGGAGAGAUCUGUCGGGAGUACUUGAAUGGACGAUGUUCGAAGACUGACUGCAAGCUCAAUCACCCACCACAUAAUCUGCUGAUGAGUGCACUAGCAGCAACGUCAACAAUGGGGACCUUGAGUCAGGCCCCUAUGGCCCCUUCAGCAGCUGCAAUGGCUGCUGCUCAAGCAAUUGUUGCUGCACGGGCUCUUCAAGCUCAUGCUGCUCAGAUGCAGGCCCAGUCUGCUGGGGGCUCACCAGGCUCAUCUGAUGAGGCUUCCAAAUCUGAUGCUUUGAAGAAAACAAUACAAGUCAGUAAUCUUAGUCCACUUCUUACAGUGGAUCAUCUCAAACAGCUUUUUGGUUACUGUGGAACUGUUGUUGAUUGCACCAUCACGGAAUCGAAGCACUUUGCUUAUAUCGAAUAUACUAAGGCAGAAGAAGCAACUGCAGCUUUGGCACUGAACAACAUGGAUGUAGGGGGGCGUCCGUUGAAUGUUGAGAUGGCAAAGUCCCUUCCUUCUAAAUCAGCCGUGGGAAAUUCCUCAUUACCGUUAGUUAUGCAGCAAGCGGUUGCUAUGCAACAGAUGCAAUUUCAACAAGCCUUAAUGAUGCAACAAGCAAUGGCCUCGCAACAGGCUGCUGCUCGAGCAGCGACAAUGAAAUCUGCAACAGAGAUGGCAUCAGCAAGGGCAGCUGAAAUAAGUAAAAUGUUAAAAGCAGAAGGUCUAGUUAGUGAUGACAAGGAAGUUAAAAGAAAGUCCAGGUCCCCAUCUAUCCCUCGCCGUGAUUCCAAGUCUCGAUCAAGGUCACCCAUUAAGUAUCGAAGAAGCAGGUAUUCUCGGUCUCUGUCACCUGCAGUGAGACAUUCCCGAGACCAAAGAUCAAGAUCACCAAUAAGAUCACGCCAUUCACGUCAUGAUGACAGGUCGUACAGAGUUGAUCGUGAUCUCUAUAGCAGAAGACGAGAAAGGGAUAGAUCACGUGAUCAUUACUCUGUCUCAAGGAGAAACAGAAGUAGGAGUUCAAGUCCUCAAAGAAAAUCAUCUCGAGCUGGAUCGAGAUCACCCAAGCAUCACAGAGAAAGUGCAAGCUCCAGAACAAAGAGGUCAUCUCGAGCCGAUUCAAGAUCGCCAAGGCAUCAUAAAUCAAGUAGAUUAUCUCCAGUAAAUAGUCAUCGGUCUUCCUCUCAUCGUGGUAGGCAUUCUAGAUCUAGAUCUAGAUCCAUUGAGCGAAAGCAUCAUUCAAAUGAAAAAGAAGACUCCAGAAAAACCGAAAAGUCAAAGCAAGAUUAUAAAAGAUUGGAGAGAAGUAACGAGUCCUCUAAAGAUCCAAAAAGGUCAAGGGACAUUAAGGAAGAUAAGUCUGCGGCACAUUCAACUGGCGGUCCUAAACGAAGGUCCUUGUCACCCAAGGAUGAGAGAAGUGCUAAUAAGCACAAAAGGUCUAAGCUGGAUGAUUCAAGUUCUGAAAAAGCUGACACUGUGAACAAGGAUCAAAAUAUAGAUGGGGAGUGCUCCGAGUCAAUAGGAGAUAAGAAGUCUGUGCAGUCUUCAACUUUAAAACAGCACAGAAACUUGGAAGAUGGUGAUGAUGUUAAGCAUGCUGAAAAACGAUAUUCAAGCAGGCAUGAGAGUUCAAGAUCAAGUCACAGGAAGCACGAAAAAAGUGACUCGGCCACUACGGAGAGAGAACGUCCAACUGUUGAGUCCACACACUUGAGGGAUGAUAAAAGGUCUUCACAUCAUUCAAGUUCAAGAUCUCACAGAACUUCUCGUCGUUUGGAAGAGGGGUCCCUCAAGGCUGCUAUUGACCAGAACAAAGUGGAGAAGCUAAAAGAGGACAACAUAAAAACUAGUGGACUCGAAGCUGUCAUCACCAAGGAAUCUCAAAUUUCAGAUGACAGCCAUGGAAAAUCUGACAACUGUUCAAAGUUGGAGCCUCACAUGUCAAGUCCCUGUUUGACUGGGGAUGAAUCUAUGAGAAAUUCUAAGGCUUCUACUGGAGACACAAAUCACAUAGAAGGUACUUUCACUGGAUUGACAAAAGAUUGUAAUGUUGAAAACGUGACUUGUAAAGUAAGUUUAAUGGUGGGUACUGAUGAUCAUACUGAAAACAAAGAGGCAGAGUUCCAGACUACUGAACUUGAGAAUCACAGUUCCAUCAAAAUUAAGGAGAAUGUUGGGCAAGACCCAGCAGAUUUAGAUGAUGAUUGCUGGCAAAAAACUGCUGAUUUGGCUGCCAAGUAUCCUCCAUAUGUUGAUCAGGGAUCGGUAUACACUAAAAGUGGUAUGUCACCUUCUGGAACAGAUAUUACUGCCAGGAAAAGUAAAUACACUGAGUUGAAGGGACCUCAAAGUACCAUUCCUGAUAAAAUAGGAGUUGAAGGAGCACCAAAUGUUGAUUCCACAAAUAUUACAAGCAUUACUAAAGAAUGGUACAUUGAUCGUGACUACAAACCAGAUGAACUGGGUACAAGUCAUAUGAAUCAGCAGUCAUCAAACUUAGUUGCUCAUGUGGGCUCCCUUUUUGAGGGGCAGAUCAAUGGUUUAAGCAAUAAUGAGAAAAUAAAAGAGAAAAGUGAAACUGAGGAAUACGGCUGUGUACAGACAAUUCAGUCAGUACCCCUUGAUCAUGGGAACCCCAGUGAUUCCAAAGAAAUUAGAAACGUGGAAUCCUCUUCUGCCUUAAUGGUCAGAGACCAUGGAUAUUUUUCACAAGAUUUAUCUAACAUGAAUGAUAUUUCUUUCACUAAUGAGAACUUGACUGAUCAAAAUCCAGAGGUAAAUUUUGGAGGUCACAGGAUGAAGUAUGAAGGCAGAUGUGGUGAACCACAGAGUGCUGGAGUAGUGGAGAUCUCCUCUCUUAACAAUCACAUGUCCGCUGAUAAGGUUGCAGAGUCAAAUGAAGAUUGGACGACCGCACAUUCUUCUGUCCUGGAUGCCCCAGCUAGCUCAUCAUCACCAUAGAAGACUUACCACUGGACCUUAACAGAAUACAGAUGCAGCUAUUAGUCUAUUACUUGGCUUUUCUUUUUCUGAUCCAGGAGUUUUACUUGCAGGAGAUGGCGAUAAUGUCGUUGGAAGAGGUCUCUUUGCCAUGGAAGUACUCCCUAUGAUAAUUCAAGAUUUGUUCUGUGGAACUAUAAUGAUGAAGCCUUCAAAGGAAUGAACUCUAUAGUCUUAUUAUGAGUUUGUGCUGAUAAGAUGAUAUCAUCUGCAGUUUUAGUGCAUCAACCUGCACGUGUUUGUCUCUGCAGGUCUUCAGUACCUGGAACACUUGGGAGCAUCGCUGGGAUAUCUGCUGUUAGGGUUAUUCAGUGAUAUUCAGGGGAUGGAUGGAGCAUUUUCUAUUGAUGAGGACUCCUUGUUGAUAGCCCAGUGUAAGUGAUCAAUGAACGGCACGGUAUAGUUGUUGGUCGUCUGAGAACUGUCGAGGCCAAGAUCAAAACUAGCGGUGUAGCUUCAUGAAACAAGAUUCUUUACUUUCCAAUCAAGCUUCAUGACUUAUUUGCAACUGAAUACAAGACUGGCUUCAUGAUAAGCCAUUCUGAAGUGUCCAAUUAGUUAGUCAUACAACUUACUACCGUGGUCCUGUGGUAUCCAAAAUAUGUGCAGGUAUCGAAAGAGAAUUGCUGCUGGGAUAACAUGAAAGCAAAUUGGGCCAUUGUUCCACCGAUGCAAGAAAGGUUUGUUUGUAAAGCUUUUAAAGCACAAAUUGGAAAAUUUUCUCAAUGCAUUUGUUCUCGGUUUUCGCAUCUGGAAAUGGUUUUGAUUUACACAUUGUUUUUUGUAUAUAGUAUGAAAACUUAAAAUUUUUAUAUUCCUUAUAUUUCUUUUCUCUUUUUUGCCCUUUAAACUUUUCCUUCGUUUUUAAUUUUCUUUUGGCUUAGUUAUGUACACUUUGCCUGUAUUUUCUGAAGGUACAUUAUUAGGUCGUAGUGUCUGGCGUAUGGCUAUGAAGCCUACCAAGCCAAUAUUUUUCUGAUUUAAAAUUUCUUUUGGCAGCUAAGAUUCUGCCCAAUUUUGUUUUGUCGAACAAAAUGUUUGGGAAUCAGGAAACUAGCUACCACUGUUUGUUCAGAUCACCCAUGCUUGUGCCACACUGCAUGCAGAAACUACAUUUGUUCGUAGGAUGUGGGAAGACACCAGAUGAUCCGAGUAGGAUGGUCUUGCUUCUGAUUGUGUUCUUCACUGACCUUUUACGUUUUGCCUUGCAUCAUAAAAUUUCUUGUUUCUCUUCUUUUUCUAUAUCUCCCUAUGCUCAUUUUUCCUUUUGAGUUAGGGUCUGCUUUGGAUGACUAUUAUCCUUGGUAAAACUAUGAUCCUUGGUUAAAGAGAAAGAUGCAGAGGAUCAGCCAGUUCUCCUGAUGGUGCGUGCGUAUGAGCUGCUCAACAACCCCACUUGAUGGUAUUUCUUUUGCACUGACCCAAAACAUGUUUCUUGUCUGUUCUCUCUCUCUUUUUUUGUUGUGCAACGGGCUGCUAAGUGAAUGUCAAGGCAAGUAUAGAUCUUUCUUUUUAGUCUUAGGCCUAAAAAGCGAGUAUAGAUCCUGUACCAUAUAAAACUUCUGUUAGAAUUAGUUUUGGAA